UCCCAUAUGGUGUAGUGGUUAGCAUAAUGCUCUCUCAUAUAAUGAGCGCAGCAUAGACCCUGGUUCGAUUCCUGGUAUGGGAG
The sequence is a transfer RNA, 83 nucleotides long. It matches the Rfam family "tRNA". From Rfam's summary of the family: Transfer RNA (tRNA) molecules are approximately 80 nucleotides in length. Their secondary structure includes four short double-helical elements and three loops (D, anti-codon, and T loops). Further hydrogen bonds mediate the characteristic L-shaped molecular structure. tRNAs have two regions of fundamental functional importance: the anti-codon, which is responsible for specific mRNA codon recognition, and the 3' end, to which the tRNAs corresponding amino acid is attached (by aminoacyl-tRNA synthetases). tRNAs cope with the degeneracy of the genetic code in two manners: having more than one tRNA (with a specific anti-codon) for a particular amino acid; and 'wobble' base-pairing, i.e. permitting non-standard base-pairing at the 3rd anti-codon position. The record is from Rfam.